CGCUUGGCCCCGCCCCCCGGCGGCUGCGGCGGCCAGCAGCGGAGGAAGGCGCAGCUCCGCUCCGCUCCGCUCCCCGCCGCCAUGGGGCUGCCGGCCGCCUGCCCGCUGCUGCUGCUGCUCGGCGCCCUGCGCUACGGUUCUGCCCAGCUGGUGUUUAGUACAGUAGAUUUUGUUGAAAGAGAUGCCUGUAAUACUACUGUUGUUUUACCUUGCCACGUGAUUAAUCUAAAGGAGCACAAUGACAGUAACAUGUUUGUUUCGUGGAAAAAACAAGGAAGAGUACUUUUUUCUUUUAAUGGAGCAGAACAGCGUAUUUACAGGCAUGAGAUGGUUCCAUCAGCUAACUUGCUAUCUCAGCAGGAUUUAUCUAAGGGCAUUGCCUCUCUAAAACUUAAAAGUUCGGAAGCAGAAGAUGGAAAUUACAGUUGUGAAGUAACAGAAUUAAACAGAGAAGGAGAAACAAAAGUUGAUCUUAGAACCGUCACGGUUGGCAGUUGUGGUGAGGAAAAUGCCCCAACACCAGACAAUGAAUGUGGGCGACAGUUUGACUUCAUGGAAAGUGUUGUCAUCUCAGUGUUGCUGUUCUUAAUUGUUAUUAUUUAUUGGGCUCAGUUAGGUGUUAUCGCAUUAAAAUGUGAAACUGUACAUAAGAAUAAGACGUACGUUGCUGUAGGAUGUGCCAUCUUCACAGUUCUUGCUGUUAUAGCUGUUGUUCUUUUUGUCCAAGGUGGCAAUAUUACUAUCAGUAAAGUUGGUCUUGGUUUUGUUGUACUGCCUGCUGUGAUAUUGAUGGUGCUUCAGUACUAUAUAUUUAAAAUCGUUCUCGUUGAUGUAACACGUAAAGGAUAUGUUCUGAUAGGUCUUCAGUUUUUUGGUUUUAUAAUUGCUCUUGUUGGUUUUGCACUGUGCAUCUCAGCCUGUCCUCCAGAACUUCUGUCUGUUGUAAUUGCUGGCUUAGCUGUUAUGGCUGUUGAGGAUCUGCUUGCUCUGUUGUAUAUGUAUACUAGUUGUUCCAGAAUGAAAGAUCAUCAAACUCCAAGGAAUCACUACUUACUGUAUAUGUCAAUUAGAGUAAUUUAACUGUGGCGAGCCAGAAGUAAACACGAAGGCAUUUUAUACAUAUAUAUAUUUUUAAAUGUUUUGCAGAAAGCUGUAGAAGAACCACUAAAUGAUGCAAAAGGAGUGAUGUUAGAAUGAUGCAAUAAAGACAGAGACUGAAUCUACUGCAGAGAUGAGUGAUGGGUGACAAGUACAUUGUUUAUACGCCGUGGCCUUGAAGAUGCACUACUCAAAGAGAAGAAAUUCAGGAAACUAGUUGUUUUGCAUGUGUGGCAAAAGUGCUUUUGAUAUAAAUGAUGUAAUUUUAUAGUCACAGCAGCUGUAGCGAGGAACAUGUGUGUUUGCCUGUGUGAUCUUCAUUUCUUUUAUAUGGUAUAUAUGGUGUGGUUGAGGGUGAGAAUAUAAAGAGCACUGUUUGCCCACUAAAGCGUCUCCCUGCAGUAUACUUAGUGGUAUUACUUUUAAAAAUUAUCACCAGUCACUGCUUUGAUAAUGGGCCUGCUCAGCCCGAAGAUUGCAAUACCAUUUUAGACUACUGUUUUCUUUACUUAUGUGCAUGAUCAAGGUAUGGUCAUAAUGUCUGUGAUACGAACAGGAAGCAGGGAUCACAAAAUACUUCUUUUUCAACAUUCAGGAAAGUUUUUAUUUAAAAAAACAAAAAGCUUAUACAAAAAGUUACAUAAAUAUAAACUUUACUCCCAGUUCUCCUUAAAUGAUUAACCAAGUUACCCUAAUUCCACAGAAUGAUGAUAUUCCUAUCUAUGCGCAGCAGUCACAUGCUGUGGCGACCAGUAUUUUAGUCCAGUGAGAGCUCUCUGUGCCUCGUAAGUAUUCUUUGACAAGAUACUGCUCAGCUCUAAUUCCUCUAAUUGGCUCUAGGAGCCAAAAUCAGCACUGGAAUUGUGGAGCAUAGCACCUAGUCAUUUUCAUGCUGAAAUGUUUGUUUGUUCAUGUUGUGCAGCAUGUGGUACUGGAACCAAUUUCAGGUUCUCUUAACUGACUGCAUUUGUAAAACUCUUGAUGCUUCAGAAAAAUAGGAUUUGUCCUAUUAGCAUAUUGUUAACAGUUUUAAAAUCGGUUUUCUUGAAUGAAAAUUGCAGUUAUUUCAUUUCUGACUCAAGUUUGUGAUGCUGCCAUUACAUCACAAAUGCAUAGAAUAGAAUAUAUGUAGAAGGAGCUGAUGCGAAGUGAGGAGGCUUCAUUGCUUUGUAUAUGGAAGUGGUACAGAUUAAAAAAAAAUCCAUGUAGAAUCAAUUCUACAGGACUUGCACAUUCCAUGAGACUUUACAAUGUUUUACAGCUGCAUUUGUUCCAGUAUAGUUGGAUUCUUUUGAAUUUCAUUUACACUUUGUGGAAAUCUUUACACUGGCUCCAAUUUGUACUAAUAAAAUUGUAAUAAAAUCCACUUUUUUAAAAAAGAUUCUGAGUAAUGCGAUAAGUCCCAGAUCUGGAAGUUAUAAACUAGGGUUCAUAUCCGUGUUCUGGGUGUGUGUUGCAGAGAUCCACAUGAGAUCCUCCAAGUCUCAGUGCAGACACCUUGUAUGAGGAGUUCAACAAAAUAAAAUUGAGAUAUCUGAUUUUACAAUAUUCAUUAUUGCAAGGGCUGCAGGACUCAGCCACUAGAGCAACCCUUGGUCCAGCCCUUGCUAAAAUCAGUGAAAUUGGCCACAGUGGAAAGGAUUAUUCUUGUGAUAAAAUGUUUAAGAAGCAAAUAUGGUGUACAUUUAGUUGCGUAACUUAAAGUUUGUCAGUGGGAGUAUUCAUAUAAGAUUUGAGCUUCCAAAUAUGAAUCUCUUUGAUGCAGGCUUUUUCAUGAUCAUAGCAAUCCACCUAGAGGUGGGAGACACUUCUCUGUUACCAAUUCUGUGUAAGGGUUUACCUGAUCAGGUACCACGCAGAGCUCCUCGUCUGUAUGUAGUGAUUCCCUGUGGCAAGUUGAAAGUUGAGCAGUUGAAGAAGAAAAAAAAGAAGCACUGGAAUUCUUUUUGAGGUAUCCUGCCUUAUUAAAAACCAUAAUGUAUAAUAGCUUUAUGUUAACUACUGCAAAGCAAAUUGCAGUGGAACCUGUUGUGUGUCUCUGUGGUGAUGAGGCCAGCCUGUCACUAGGGCACUGCUGAAAAAUGUAGAACUCGGUGACUGUGUACAGACUGCAGAAUCAAUUGCCCCAAAAAGGAGAGAAACCUCGCAUGCUGUUGCUAAGGGCUCUGCUCCGGGUUUCUUGUAGGUACAAAUUUAAACAUGAGAGUUUAAAAAGUCAUUGAUACGCCCAGCCUUUUCCCACCAGUAAAACCAAAGUUCAUAACUGUUUGAUGCCAUUCAUGUGUGUAUGUAUGCGUGUAUAUAUAUAAAUGCAUAGACAUUUUAAAUAUCUAUAGUCUUUACUCAAGAAAAUGUUUUUAUUUAUGAAACAUGAAAGAAUUUUGUAAAUAUUGUGUUAAUGUACUUUAAUUAAAGUCAUUUUAAGUUGUU
Oxyura jamaicensis (ruddy duck) is the source of this 3528-nucleotide RNA transcript. It is a transcript of the gene named CD47 molecule, with no coding region annotated. The transcript is spliced from 12 exons. The record is from RefSeq and is a predicted model, not a curated record. Lineage: Eukaryota; Metazoa; Chordata; Aves; Anseriformes; Anatidae.